RNAcentral lists this ribosomal RNA (424 nucleotides) under uncultured bacterium. RNAcentral describes it as "partial 16S ribosomal RNA". It matches the Rfam family "Bacterial small subunit ribosomal RNA", at positions 354 to 796 of the family's 1533-position model. The record is from RNAcentral.
GUGGGGAAUCUUGCGCAAUGGGCGAAAGCCUGACGCAGCCAUGCCGCGUGAAUGAUGAAGGUCUUAGGAUUGUAAAAUUCUUUCACCGGGGACGAUAAUGACGGUACCCGGAGAAGAAGCCCCGGCUAACUUCGUGCCAGCAGCCGCGGUAAUACGAAGGGGGCUAGCGUUGCUCGGAAUUACUGGGCGUAAAGGGCGCGUAGGCGGACAGUUUAGUCAGAGGUGAAAGCCCAGGGCUCAACCUUGGAAUUGCCUUUGAUACUGGCUGUCUUGAGUACGGGAGAGGUGAGUGGAACUCCGAGUGUAGAGGUGAAAUUCGUAGAUAUUCGGAAGAACACCAGUGGCGAAGGCGACUCACUGGCCCGUUACUGACGCUGAGGCGCGAAAGCGUGGGGAGCAAACAGGAUUAGAAACCGGGUAGUCC